UACGGGAGGCAGCAGUGGGGAAUAUUGCACAAUGGGCGCAAGCCUGAUGCAGCCAUGCCGCGUGUAUGAAGAAGGCCUUCGGGUUGUAAAGUACUUUUCAGUCGUGAGGAAGGUGUUAAGGUUAAUAACCUUAGCAAUUGACGUUAGCGACAGAAGAAGCACCGGCUAACUCCGUGCCAGCAGCCGCGGUAAUACGGAGGGUGCGAGCGUUAAUCGGAAUUACUGGGCGUAAAGGGCACGCAGGCGGUUAAUAAGUUGGAUGUGAAAUCCCCGGGCUUAACCUGGGAAUGGCAUUCAAGACUGGUUAGCUAGAGUCUUGUAGAGGGGGUAGAAUUCCAUGUGUAGCGGUGAAAUGCGUAGAGAUGUGGAGGAAUACCGGUGGCGAAGGCGGCCCCUGGCAAAGACUGACGCUCAUGUGCGAAAGCUGGGGAGCAAACAGGGAUUAGAUACC
Molecule: ribosomal RNA, 451 nt
Filed under: uncultured bacterium
Lineage: Bacteria
Description: bacterial SSU rRNA
Rfam family: Bacterial small subunit ribosomal RNA
Source: RNAcentral